GCCGAACUCUUCCCUCGUGCCUAAUACAUGCAAGUCGAGCGAGUCUGCCUUGAAGAUCGGAGUGCUUGCACGCUGUGAGACAAGAUACAGGCUAGCGGCGGACGAGUGAGUAACACGUGGGUAACCUGCCCAAGAGAUCGGGAUAACACCUGGAAACAGAUGCUAGUACCGGAUAACAACAGUUGAUGCCUAUCACCUGUUUAAAAGAUGGUUCUGCUAUCACUCUUGGAUGGACCUGCGGUGCAUUAGCUAGUUGGUAGGGUAACGGCCUACCAAGGCGAUGAUGCAUAGCCGAGUUGAGAGACUGAUCGGCCACACUGGGACUGAGACACGGUCCAAACUCCUACGGGAGGCAGCAGUAGGGAAUCUUGCACAAUGGACGCAAGUCUGAUGUAGCAAUGCCGCGUGAGUGAAGAAGGGUUUCGGCUCGUAAAGCUCUGUUGUUGGUGAAGAAGGACAGGAGUAGUAACUGACCUUUGUUUGACGGUAAUCAAUUAGAAAGGCACGGCUAACUUCGUG
This 519-nucleotide ribosomal RNA is filed under the name uncultured bacterium. Its description in RNAcentral is "partial 16S ribosomal RNA". It matches the Rfam family "Bacterial small subunit ribosomal RNA", at positions 28 to 507 of the family's 1533-position model. The record is from RNAcentral.